RNAcentral lists this ribosomal RNA (253 nucleotides) under uncultured bacterium. RNAcentral describes it as "partial 16S ribosomal RNA". It matches the Rfam family "Bacterial small subunit ribosomal RNA", at positions 524 to 776 of the family's 1533-position model. The record is from RNAcentral.
UACGGGGGGGGCAAGCGUUAUUCGGAAUUAUUGGGCGUAAAGGGCGCGUAGGCGGCCUGGCAAGUGGAAGGUGAAAUCCCUCGGCUUAACCGAGGAACUGCCCUCCAAACUGCUUGGCUUGAGACCGGGAGAGGUGAGUGGAAUUCCCAGUGUAGCGGUGAAAUGCGUAGAUAUUGGGAGGAACACCAGUGGCGAAGGCGGCUCACUGGACCGGUACUGACGCUGAGGCGCGAAAGCGUGGGGAGCAAACGGG